AUGGGAAAAAAAAAAAAAAGACUGGACUGCUCAUUGGCCACCAAAAUGAAGUCACCAUCCGCCAUCUUGACACUCCUAAAACAACCACGCUGACCUGUGCAGGAACAGUUUGGUGGCUGUGAAAAAAAUUUCCACAGGUGCCAAACUCACGGCCCCGCCACACGAUUCGUGUGGCCCGCGGAGGCAAGUCAUCCGUGUGGACUUCCAUGCAAUCACCUUGACCUCCUGCCAGUAGGGCCCCCCUCUGGUGUACAGGAAGUAGUUGUAAAUGUCGUCUUUUUGGUGCGAGAAGUACGUCUCGGCGGCGAUGUUGAUCAUCCACGGCCGGCCGUCGCCUCGCACGCGCAGG
Long non-coding RNA from Syngnathoides biaculeatus (alligator pipefish), 349 nucleotides. RefSeq lists it as uncharacterized. Lineage: Eukaryota; Metazoa; Chordata; Actinopteri; Syngnathiformes; Syngnathidae. The transcript has 3 exons. The record is from RefSeq and is a predicted model, not a curated record.